RNAcentral lists this ribosomal RNA (370 nucleotides) under uncultured eukaryote. RNAcentral describes it as "partial 18S ribosomal RNA". It matches the Rfam family "Eukaryotic small subunit ribosomal RNA", at positions 592 to 976 of the family's 1831-position model. The record is from RNAcentral.
CAAUAGCGUAUAUUAAAGUUGUUGCAGUUAAAAAGCUCGUAGUUGGACCUUGGACCUGGACAGGCGGUCCGCCUCACGGCGUGUACUGUCUUGCUGGGUCUUUCCUCUUGGUGAUCUGUUGUUUCGGCAGCAGGGAACCAGGACUUUUACUUUGAAAAAAUUAGAGUGUUCAAAGCAGGCUCGACGCCGGAAUAUAUUAGCAUGGAAUAAUAAAAUAGGACGUGCGGUUCUAUUUUGUUGGUUUUUGGAAUCGCCGUAAUGAUUAAUAGGGACAGUCGGGGGCAUUAGUACUCACAUGCUAGAGGUGAGAUUCUUGGAUUUUGUGAAGACUAACUUCUGCGAAAGCAUUUGCCAAGGAUGUUUUCAUUAA